Anolis carolinensis (green anole) is the source of this 1131-nucleotide long non-coding RNA. RefSeq lists it as uncharacterized. NCBI's taxonomy places the organism in Eukaryota, Metazoa, Chordata, Lepidosauria, Squamata, Anolidae. The transcript is spliced from 4 exons. The record is from RefSeq and is a predicted model, not a curated record.
AUUUUAAUAUUGUAAAUGAUUAAUUUAUAGAUUAUUUUUAAAUCUAAUAUUUAUAAUAUUAAUGCAUUGCAUUGUUUCUCAUUUUUAUUGUUUUAAAUGCUGUUAGCCUCCCAUUAUUGGGAGAAAAGUGGAAUAUAAAUGAAUAAAAUAUGAAAUACAAGAUGAAAGUGAUGCCUGUUACAUUUGUUUCUAUUCAGAAAGUGGGAGUUAAGGGCAGCAUACCUGUGCUUAUCAAAUUGUAAGAGGGUAGCCAUCCUGUAAGGCAGUGGUUCUCAAGCUGUGGGUCUCCAGGUGUUUUGGCCUACAACUCCCAGAAAUCCCAGCCAGUUUACCAGCUGUUAGGAUUUCUGGGAGUUGAUGGCCAAAAUAUCUGGAGUCCCAAUGGUUGAGAACCACUGCUAUAAGGAAAGAAAAGGAAGAGGAAAAGAAGAAGCAGCAGCAACAGCUUUGAACCUGAAAGUGCUUUCAGACAGAGUCAAAAUGGGGGUUUUAAAGAUGGAGAAAAAGAUACCAGGACCUGACAACAAGUCCAGACACAGACCUGUCAGUCCCAGGAAAUGCUCCACCUUCUUUUGAAGUGGAUCAAGAUGGAUGGUGGAUGGGGGACAUCCUGCGGAAAUUUUUGCAGUCCACACAGGGAGUGAAGCUGCACCACCUUGAAAGUUUCCAUCACUAUCAUUGAAUGGGAAGGAGAAGGCCUCAAAACACUUCUCCAGAAUCUGUUCAGACUGUAGGACAAGAUGCCACAGUUCACCAAAGGAUGGUAAGAAAUUCUGCAUGCUUCCUCUUCUGAGAAGUGAAUCACUGUUCUGGAACUGCACGUCUACAACCUUCCUGCUCCAAAGCUUGAAAGCUUAGACCUCAGUCAAAAAUGUAUGAAUGUACUGUUACUUAUUUGAAGGACAAUCUCGGGUACUUUCUUUUAUCUUACUUCUGUUUAGCUGCUUUGUAUUUGUGACAAGAGUAUCAUUCAGUCCCUGCAACCUUUAUACAAAAAUAAUCUGGACAAAUUAUAAUUAUUUUAGUAUUGUUCAGGGCAAAUUGAAUAGAACCCCAGCCUCAUUUAUAUACUCAAAAACUGAUGAUAAUGGUUAUUACUCCAUAUAAUUAAAUAAAUAAUGUUUUACCAAA